This is a long non-coding RNA of Triticum dicoccoides, 714 nucleotides long. RefSeq lists it as uncharacterized. NCBI's taxonomy places the organism in Eukaryota, Viridiplantae, Streptophyta, Magnoliopsida, Poales, Poaceae. The transcript is spliced from 4 exons. The record is from RefSeq and is a predicted model, not a curated record.
GGAUUUGUUCCGUAACAAGGAUGGAAAGUAUUGCCAAAGAAAACAAGGAUGGAAAGUAUAACAGCUUACAAAAACCAACGUGGACAACACAGAUCUGGAACUCGAGUAAAUCAUACUCACAAAUAAGUUUUUGAGAAGAGAGACUUGGAAACCAGAGAAGAGGAGCGAAGAUCAAGACUAGAAUCUGAAAAAAAACAUGAUGGCAAAGUUUACAAAAUUGAGCCAACAGAUGGGAACCCAACAGAUGAUUACAUUCAUAUGCUUGCGACCUUGUAAGAUUUAUGUUGCUUAAUUGCAUUGCUAAAAGUGCACUUCUAUUUUCAGGUGCUAACGAAGAGGAUUAACAAAGAAAAUAGUAUCCAAACUUGCAAAAUACUCUUUUACAUAGAUCUACUCCUAAUAAGACUCCAGUUGCAAGGACAACUGUUAUUUCUUCAAAUGCUCUCAUACAAGUUGCAACGAGGAAUUCUCGAAUGUUUAAAGCAAUGGAUCCAAAGAACUAGCUGGACUGGACUCUAGAUCAUGGACAAUUUAGUUUGGCACUUAAUUAGGAUGGCUAAAUUACAUCUGAGUUUCAUUUGAUGGAUAUUUACUAUGAGAAUUAUGAAUUUAUGAAUGUACAUAUUAUAUGUAUUGUUUGGAAUAUUGUUAUUGAAUGCCUGUAUUUUUUUUACGGUUGCAAUGGGCUAUUACCACAACCAACUUUUGGUUGAA